UGGGGAAUAUUGCACAAUGGGCGCAAGCCUGAUGCAGCCAUGCCGCGUGUAUGAAGAAGGCCUUCGGGUUGUAAAGUACUUUCAGCGGGGAGGAAGGGAGUAAAGUUAAUACCUUUGCCCAUUGACGUUACCCGCAGAAGAAGCACCGGCUAACUCCGUGCCAGCAGCCGCGGUAAUACGGAGGGUGCAAGCGUUAAUCGGAAUUACUGGGCGUAAAGCGCACGCAGGCGGUUUGUUAAGUCAGAUGUGAAAUCCCCGGGCUCAACCUGGGAACUGCAUCUGAUACUGGCAAGCUUGAGUCUCGUAGAGGGGGGUAGAAUUCCAGGUGUAGCGAUGAAAUGCGUAGAGAUCUGGAGGAAUACCGGUGGCGAAGGCGGCCCCCUGGACGAAGACUGACGCUCAGGUGCGAAAGCGUGGGGAGCAAACAGG
Molecule: ribosomal RNA, 429 nt
Filed under: Chloroflexota bacterium
Lineage: Bacteria; Bacillati; Chloroflexota
Description: Chloroflexi bacterium partial 16S ribosomal RNA
Rfam family: Bacterial small subunit ribosomal RNA
Source: RNAcentral